Non-coding RNA from Misgurnus anguillicaudatus (oriental weatherfish), 1812 nucleotides. NCBI's taxonomy places the organism in Eukaryota, Metazoa, Chordata, Actinopteri, Cypriniformes, Cobitidae. The record is from RefSeq and is a predicted model, not a curated record.
GCCAGUGUCCCGCACGUGAUCUCCAUGGCAACGUCACGAAGCUCGUGAACUCUUCCUGUUGUGUUGAAGGCUAGCUGCACACAAGCAUACACUUGUGGAGAGGAAUGAAGAGUACUGUGUUGACCAGCAAAUCGGACCAAAGAUGGGAGCAUGUCAGACAAGCCUUUGUACAAAGAGACAAAGCCAGGACAGGUACUGUCUGCUGUGGACUUCAAGGACAUCAUGGUGACCAUCAGUCCCCACAUGCCAACACCAUUUGUGGAUGAAGGCCCGAUUGCAGCAGCCGGUGGCAGAACGUCACAUCAGGUCAGCCUUUUCUACUUAAAUGGCUUCAACUCUUCGCUAAACAACAUGGAGCUCAUUAGGCAGAUCUGCACCACCCUGGCAGGCAACCGCAGAGAUGUGGAAGUUACCAAAGGGAUGUUCAUCAUUGUUGCUCAGAGGUUUGGCCAGGUGACCCCUAUAAACGUGGACAUCCAGUUCCAGUAGGCUGCCCUGUCGUAGUCAAAAGGGCUCUAUAGGAGAACAUCUCAGAUUUGCCUGCUGGUGCUCAGUGCAUCUGAAGAGGGACGCAGGGCUGCAUUCCUGAGGCUUGGAGCACUGGAGGUUGCGGAGAGCCAGUGUUUUGGUGUAAACAACAUUGUGGGACUGCCGUGAUGGCGCUGGGUCGUAUCUCAUCCAGCGGCCUCAUUCUCUGACAUUUUAUAGACAGCUGGAGAGAAGUGGGUGCAAAAGCCUGUUUCCUGAGAGGCAUCCCAUCUACUUCCCUAUGAACACGCCGAGACAGCCCUGACUGAUGAGGAGGGGCGAACGGGACCUGGCAGGCUUCUUCUGGCAGGGCCGAUGGCGGGCCCGCCUGUAGCAUCCUUGGUGACCCCUGCUGAUGUUAUCAAGACCCGGUUACAAGUGACUGGCCGUGCAGACCAGACCAUGUACAAUGGACUCAUUGACUGUUUCUUUAGGAGAAGAGCCCUCGUGCCCUCUGUAAAUUAGUUUGAGAAAACCAACUGGCUCUGGGCCCACUCCCAAGUCUCGGAUCAGCCUCCCGGCGCCCAAUCCUGACCACACUGGUGGCUUGCAGGUUGGCCGUGGCCACGUUUGCUGGCAUCCAGAGUAAAUUUGGACUUCCAAGUGACUGCCACCCCCACGUCAGACCACGCUUGAGACCGAGGCUUCGUGCUGGGGCUGGCGAUACCAUGUGUGAGUCGAAUGUGCACACAUGAAUCUCUUUUUAUUGAGAACACACUGCUAAACUUUCAGCAGCUGAUCUGGAAAUGAUGUUUUAUAUAAUUAUGUGUGCAAAUUACAGCUUUCCAAGACAAAAUAGUUGGUUAUUAUUUUUUAAAAUCUAACACAUUCUGAACUGUUAAGUAGGAUUGUGGUGUAAUUUGUGACCCAUGGGCAAACCAAGCUCAGGGCGCACUCACAUUAUCCAAACCAAACCAAACCAUGCCCCAGCGCGAUUGUCACCCCUCCCUUCUCCCCCAUGGUGCACGCACUCACACUGUACUUUUUAUCGAUCCGAGUCCGGGCGCGCUUUCGUCAUUAAGAUGCGUUUGUUUUGAAAAAAGCAGGAAGUAAAGCUCUCCCUUAACACUGGAACCCACCGUAAUGAUAAGUCUGUGUUUUUUGCCCGGAGUCGUUUGGUGCGCGAUUACAGACAGCCCUCUCACAUGUCAUCAUAUUGCUUAGUUGAUCUGUCACGCGCGCAGCUCGGACAUUCACGUAACCCCGCUGCGCGCAUCAAAUGGUUUAUACGGAGGCAGAUGAAGGUGAGUGGUCGCGCAACUGACGUCUUCACCUUUUGAAUCG